This 2484-nucleotide long non-coding RNA is filed under the name Homo sapiens (human). RNAcentral describes it as "PREDICTED lncRNA (TCONS_00271575)". The record is from RNAcentral. Lineage: Eukaryota; Metazoa; Chordata; Mammalia; Primates; Hominidae.
GAGACCAAUUUGGCCUGGGGAGAACCGCCUUCAGGCGUUUGGACUCAGUGGAGGUUGUGAGUGCCCAGCAGUGUGGCCUGAAUCUCCGUGGGGUUUAGGGAGACGAAAGGACCCCAGAUCGACGUCCCCUCGUUCCCACUUUGGGGAUCGGCGCUCUGGCUGUUUCGUGAAGGAGAGAGAGGUUGAUUCCAUACCCUGGCUAUUGUGAAUAAUGCUGCAGUGAACAUGGGAGUACAUACAUCUGUUUGAGGAACUCAGAGUGGUUUUCCAGAUGGGAAUCACAUUGCUCUCUGUCCCUGAGAUCUUGCUGGAGACAGGGCUACUCAGUCCCUCUUUGCCAGGUAAUCUGUUCCAGAAGAAACAUGUGUCGUUCUGACUGAGCCCCUGCCUGUCUGUCACCUUAAGAGCCAGUCAAUUCAUAUGGUCCCCAUAUCAAAGUCUCCUGUGCCCAGAGAGAGGAUUUCAUUUCAACCAUCACCAUCACCACCAUCAUCAUCAUCACCAAGAGAUGUUGUUGAAUUGAUACUGGAAAAGCAGUUUCUAUUGAGCCCCCAAAUGAAGAGUGAGUGCAGAUGAAGAGGAGGCAGGACUCACAAGCCCUUGAACUUUAUUCCAGAUCUGUUAGCACCUACAGGACCCUGCACCAGGAUUUCAUCUGUACUAUCAGCUUCUUCAAAGAGAGAGAGGUUGUUGAAUUGAUAUUGGAAAAGCAGUUUCCCAUUGAGUCUCAAAUGAAGAGAGUGCAGAUGAAGAGGAGGUAGGAGUCACAAGCCCUUGACCCUCAUGCUAGACCCAUUACCACCCACAGGACCUUGCAGUGGGAUUUCAUCUGCACCAUCAGCUUCUUCAGAGAGAGAGGUUGUUGAAAGACUCUGUAUUGAACCAAGGUGCUCUACACAGUAGCCCCUACUAAGCUCCCAGCAGAUGCCAGCAUCAGUCAUCCAUCUCUUCAUGUGGAUGUCUGAGCUCAUAUCAGGUGUCUGAAAGAGGCAGAUUCUGAGGAUUUGGGUCAUGAUGGCUGCCAAAGCUUCUACUCCUGACUUAAAGGGCAACAAUCCUAGGAGACCACCAGCACUUACAUCCCUGGUAGGACAUGACACCUGCUUAUGGCUCAGAAGUGACAAAAGAGAAUUAUCAGGAUGGCAGUCCUUAUAACCAGAUGCUUAUCAACAUUCUUCACUACAUUCUGAAGAUGAAUUUCUACAAGGGAAAUUGUUUAUAUUUGUUGUUGGGGAUAGAUAAGGAAAGAAGAAAAAGGCUCUGGUGAGAAACCCAUUGUACCUUCUGGAUAUGAUCACUACCCAAUUUUAUCAGUGUCAUUGAUCACUAACCCAGUGCCUCGUAUGGUGCCAGGCACAGAGUUACUCCAAGAAUGUACAAUAAUGGCUGGAUUCUCUUUCUCCCUGUGCAACUCUUCAUGCAUGUGACUGAACUUAUAUUAAGUGUCUGAAGGAGGUUCGUUCUGAGGAUCUGGGACAUGAUGGGUGCUGAAGCUUCUACUCAAGAUUUGAAGGGCAGCUGUCCUCAGGAGACCCCUGGCACUUCCCUCCAUGGUGGGAUGUGAUGCCUGAUUCCAGUGAGUUCAUAGAGCUGAACAAAAGUACGUUGUGGAAUAGCUCCUGUGAGGUUCACAACAUAGUCCGGAAGAUGAGAAACUACUUUUUUUAGUAACCUGGAUUCCCAUCUAAGAGAUGCCUUACUUUAUCGUAAAGCAAUGAGUUGUUCACUUGAGGAGGGAACUUCAUGUUUAACAUGUAUUUGCAACAAAUUUACAUACAUUUUCUGCCUGUAUGAAUAGUUGUCAGUGAUGCCCAUGAAUUUCUCAGAUGGAUGUUGAAGUAUACAGUUAGAAGGUUAGAAGAUCUUCCUAGCAAUCUGUGAUUACGGUAUGCAUUCUUCCAUGGUUUCUACGUUUUUGUCUAUUCUAUAAUGAAAUUUUCUAAGAAGCCAGAAAUUAAUUAAGUGCUACCUAAAAAUAUCAAAAUGUCAGGUACAAGAAUUUGGCAUUUUCAAAAUUAGUAAUUACAAUGUAAGUUUGCCCUAUUAUAAUGAUACCCAGCUAUGUCCAGUAACAUAACUAGAUUGUUCUGAAUACCGUUAUUAUUUCCCAAUAAUACAAACAUCACAAUUUCAGUUCUGUAGUACCUGGCCUACCUACCCUUCCCACUGCCUUGCCCCAGGUAAACACAGCAUGCCUGUCACUAUACAUUAUUUUACAUGCCUGGAAAUAUAUUUAAAUGGAAUCAUAGAGGUGGUUUCUUUUUUUUUUUUUUAUCAACACCUGGCUUUUUUCAUUCACUCCACUUAUUUUUAUAUUUAUCCAUUUUAUUGCAUUUAUCUAUUGAUAUACUUCAUUCUUUUUGAUUGCUAAAUACUAUUGCGGUAUACAACCACACUAAACAUUUUAUUAUCCAUCCAUUUGUCGAUGGACAUUUUGGUUGUUUCUCAUUUGGGGCUCUUGUAAAUAAAGCUGCUAUGAACAUU